UACGUAGGGAGCAAGCGUUAUCCGGAUUUAUUGGGUGUAAAGGGCGUGUAGGCGGGAGCGCAAGUCAGAUGUGAAAACUCAGGGCUCAACCCUGAGCCUGCAUUUGAAACUGUGUUUCUUGAGUGCUGGAGAGGCAAUCGGAAUUCCGUGUGUAGCGGUGAAAUGCGUAGAUAUACGGAGGAACACCAGUGGCGAAGGCGGAUUGCUGGACAGUAACUGACGCUGAGGCGCGAAAGCGUGGGGAGCAAACAGG
RNAcentral lists this ribosomal RNA (253 nucleotides) under uncultured bacterium. Its description in RNAcentral is "partial 16S ribosomal RNA". It matches the Rfam family "Bacterial small subunit ribosomal RNA", at positions 524 to 776 of the family's 1533-position model. The record is from RNAcentral.